AUAAUAGGUAUAUAAAUAUUCAUAUUAUAGUAAAAUUGUUGAUCUAUACUAUAUGAUUUCACAAUGAAACAACGUAGAUAUAUAUAUAGGAGGAGAAAACUUGGGGAGUAAGUGUCUUAAAGAUAAAGUAACUUGGUGAGUAAGACUUAUAUAUAAGGAUAAGAUAAGGUCAUAUGAUCUACUUUAAAGAUGGAUAAUCAUCCAUGUUUUCUAACAUGUUUCACUUUAUUGUGCUCAGGACCAGUUAUGUACGUGUAUGUGGAUGAGUUUU
This 271-nucleotide small RNA is filed under the name Arabidopsis thaliana (thale cress). RNAcentral describes it as "ATSL169500". The record is from RNAcentral. Lineage: Eukaryota; Viridiplantae; Streptophyta; Magnoliopsida; Brassicales; Brassicaceae.